AAUUCGCACCAUACAGCGUGGGGCAGCACGAAUGUAAACCAUAGAGAUGGAUUUUAAUUAAAUUAAAGUUAUCUCCGUUGUAGAGGAAAAACCCAUUGUGAAUUUGCAACAUCUUCAGUUAGGAGUGCCACAUUGAAUUUCUUCAGCCAAAAUAGUAUUCACUAAAUUUUGGAAGACAGUACUAAUAGAUCUAUAGAAAAAUAUCGUGUUUUUACCGAGAGGGUUACCGCAACAUAUGAUCCAUUCAUUUCACAUUUCCAAGGAGGAAAAUACGCCUUUGUUUUCAAAGGUUUAAUUGACGUCGGCAAAACCAACUCUGCUACAUCGUUCGAAGUUUUAGAAAAUUGAGAUAGUUAUAUACCCUACUCCUCGGCGCAACAGAAACAUUUUUGUUCGAACUUUCCUUUCGAAAAUCAUCUGCGUUCGUGACUUCAUCAAGGUUGCUUUUGCGAGUAGUUCCUCUGCAGUUUGUUCAGCCCAUCUAUCGGACUACUUCAAGUUUCCGUUUGGAGCGUUCAGCAAGCAUCCAUUUGCCGCAAGAAAAACUUGUGGGUUAAAAAUGAUGUUUUCAAAAACUUUAUCAAAAAUUGAUGAAUUGCUAGACGUAAUCAAACAAAAUUAUUCAAGUUCCAUUGCACGAACAUCGUUAAAUUUGGUCGAUAAACAUAUCAGAAAAUGUGACUUGGCGAUGAAAAAAUUGUAUUCUCAGUGGGAGGAAAAAAGAAAAUUAUAAGUGAAAUUGGGGAAUUGAAACGCAUUACAUGCAUAAUAAAAGUUAUGAAGAAUGAUAAAUAUAUUGGAUCAGGUUUGAAACGCAGCAGUAGAGUUAAAUGG
Leptinotarsa decemlineata (Colorado potato beetle) is the source of this 834-nucleotide long non-coding RNA. Lineage: Eukaryota; Metazoa; Arthropoda; Insecta; Coleoptera; Chrysomelidae. The record is from RefSeq and is a predicted model, not a curated record.